GUCUCCUAAACAGCUGGAAUUACAGGUGUAUGCUACUGUGCCUGGAUUAAUUAAUUCAUUUAUUCAUAAACAACCCUACAAGGGGAACACUAUUUUAUCAACCCUAUGAUACAGAGAGGGAAUUCGGGUACAGAAAAGAUUGGAACCACGUUUAACAGACUUGGCAGAAAGACGAUCAGUUGCAAAGUGAACUGAAGGUUGCAAAUCUAUCAGAACAGAGGCACAAUAAAACCAGCCAGAAGGCACGUGUUUGUGUUCCAGCUCCACCAGGAAUAAAUGUCUGACCUUGGGCGAGUUGCUUUUUUCUCUGAUACCAGUUUCCAGGACAAGCCUGCACACCUGUGCUCAGUUCAUCUGUGUGGUGGAGACCCUUUCUGGCAAGCUGGAAACCUGCUUUUGGUUUUAUAAAAGGAUCAGAAUCUACCUUUCACCAUGUAGAAGAUGGAGGUGUUACAAAUAGAACUUCAGACUAUAACCACACAAAUGGAGUCCCUGAGAGGUUGCGGUCUUGCUAGUCUUUAGAGCAAUAAUGUUCAAUAGUUGCUGAGUAAAUUUUAGACUUUCAAGAGUUUACAUUUAGCUGUUUGAUAAAAUCUGAACUUUGUCCCCAGGAA
Marmota flaviventris (yellow-bellied marmot) is the source of this 614-nucleotide long non-coding RNA. RefSeq lists it as uncharacterized. The record is from RefSeq and is a predicted model, not a curated record. Lineage: Eukaryota; Metazoa; Chordata; Mammalia; Rodentia; Sciuridae.